GAACCGCUUAAGCUAAAUCAAUAAAUAAAAGUGAUUCUGAAAGCUAUUAUAAUAGUCUAUAAGAUUGAAUUAAAAAAAUAUUUAUUUGAUUAUGCUUUUUUACCGAAAAGUUGACCGGAAGUCUUUCUUAGUGUGACUCUGGCAACACAUUUUUGAACAUUAAAACUUAAAUUCACGAAAAAGCAUAUAACCCGGUCAAAGUCUGUAAAUUGAUUCUUAAAGAUAUUUAAAUGAAAAUUAAUAUGAUAUAAAAGAAAAAAUAAAUAUAUUACUAUAAAAGGGCAAAAAGUUGACCGGA
This 298-nucleotide long non-coding RNA is filed under the name Mytilus galloprovincialis (Mediterranean mussel). Lineage: Eukaryota; Metazoa; Mollusca; Bivalvia; Mytilida; Mytilidae. The record is from RNAcentral.